RNAcentral lists this microRNA precursor (95 nucleotides) under Mustela putorius furo (domestic ferret). RNAcentral describes it as "microRNA 202 (ENSMPUG00000022221.1)". The stretch from base 9 to 83 matches the Rfam family "mir-202 microRNA precursor family". Lineage: Eukaryota; Metazoa; Chordata; Mammalia; Carnivora; Mustelidae. The record is from RNAcentral.
GCUGCUCGCUGUUCCUUUUUCCUAUGCAUAUACUUCUUUGCGGGUCUGGCCUGAAGAGGUGUAGGCAUGGGAAAAUGGGGCAUCGAGGUCCUCCU